This 214-nucleotide long non-coding RNA is filed under the name Pan troglodytes (chimpanzee). RNAcentral describes it as "long non-coding RNA NONPTRT012757". The record is from RNAcentral. Lineage: Eukaryota; Metazoa; Chordata; Mammalia; Primates; Hominidae.
CAGCGGUCUGCGCGCCGGGAGCGGGGGGGACGCUGGCCGCGGGUUUGGAAGAGGACAGUUGCCCUUUAUUCUGGCGGCAGAUAGCAGGUGAAAAAGUGCUACACAAGUUUGAUGUUUGUGUCUUCUUCUCCAAGGCCAAGAAAUUAUCUCCAUAGGAGGCAACAAUACUAUGCAUGUUAUGAAUUGUGUCUCCUUGGUCAGUGAUAAAGAAAGA